GAUAAGGUGGCUGAAGUUUAGGCUGUAAAUUGUAAAUUUAUAUAUGGUAAAACCUCUUAUCA
This 62-nucleotide transfer RNA is filed under the name Physomerus sp. Its description in RNAcentral is "tRNA-Tyr". The record is from RNAcentral. Lineage: Eukaryota; Metazoa; Arthropoda; Insecta; Hemiptera; Coreidae.